This is a long non-coding RNA of Canis lupus familiaris (dog), 588 nucleotides long. RefSeq lists it as uncharacterized. The transcript has 5 exons. Lineage: Eukaryota; Metazoa; Chordata; Mammalia; Carnivora; Canidae. The record is from RefSeq and is a predicted model, not a curated record.
ACCAUGCUAGUUCUUGGAGCUCCAGGAAAGGAGACAAGGGGGUGCAUGAUCAUGAGGUCCACUGGUCUUACCACAUUCCCCAUCAUCCAGAAGCAAUAGUCUGAAAGCCUGGCAAAAUUAACAAAGAUACCAGCUCAGUGACAACAUUUCAGGUUUCCUGGCUCUAUAAAAUGUGAUGCACGCCUUCAAUGUGUGCAGCAGAAUCUGUGAGAUUGCAGAAUGCCACAUUAAACUCAGAGCUCCUGGGCUAAUGAGGGCCAAGAAGGUCUCAUGGAGACCCACUUACCCAAGACCAUGGAAUUGAGGAGGUACAAGCUCUUCAUACACAAAAAGGUAGACAAAGCAUGUGCCCUUUGUCUAAGGAGAAGAGUACCUAUGAGAGCCAAAGAUGAUUUGGAGGCUUUCUGAGAGGGAAACCUGAAGAGAAAAGAAAGCAGUCAUAUACUAAAUCUCACCUGUCAGAGGCUCCCCAUUUAGGUGGAAUGGUGGAAAACACAAGGGCUCUGUCUCCCAGUGAAGAAAGAUUUGAAUCCUAGUACUAAGACUUUCUAUAGACACUGAAGGCAGCUACUUAGCCCUCCUGGACCA